Molecule: ribosomal RNA, 503 nt
Filed under: uncultured bacterium
Lineage: Bacteria
Description: bacterial SSU rRNA
Rfam family: Bacterial small subunit ribosomal RNA
Source: RNAcentral
AUUGAAUGCUGGCGGCAUGCCUUACACAUGCAAGUCGAACGGUAACGCGGGGCAACCUGGCGACGAGUGGCGAACGGGUGAGUAAUAUAUCGGAACGUGCCCAAUAGUGGGGGAUAGCCCGGCGAAAGCCGGAUUAAUACCGCAUACGACCUACGGGUGAAAGCGGGGGACUCGCAAGAGCCUCGCGCUAUUGGAGCGGCCGAUGUCAGAUUAGGUAGUUGGUGGGGUAAAAGCCUACCAAGCCGACGAUCUGUAGCUGGUCUGAGAGGACGACCAGCCACACUGGGACUGAGACACGGCCCAGACUCCUACGGGAGGCAGCAGUGGGGAAUUUUGGACAAUGGGCGCAAGCCUGAUCCAGCCAUGCCGCGUGCGGGAAGAAGGCCUUCGGUUGUAAACCGCUUUUGUCAGGAGAAACGCUCUGGCUAAUACCCUGGGUAAUGACGGUACCUGAAGAAUAAGCACCGGCUAACUACGUGCCAGCAGCCGCGGUAAGAGUACUA